GGUAUCGCCAAGCGGUAAGGCAUCAGACUUUGACUCUGAUAUUCGUAGGUUCGAAUCCUGCUACCC
Molecule: transfer RNA, 66 nt
Filed under: chicken gut metagenome
Rfam family: tRNA
About the family: Transfer RNA (tRNA) molecules are approximately 80 nucleotides in length.
Source: RNAcentral